RNAcentral lists this ribosomal RNA (442 nucleotides) under uncultured bacterium. RNAcentral's name for it is "partial 16S ribosomal RNA". It matches the Rfam family "Bacterial small subunit ribosomal RNA", at positions 338 to 795 of the family's 1533-position model. The record is from RNAcentral.
CCUACGGGUGGCAGCAGUAGGGAAUCUUUCACAAUGGGCGCAAGCCUGAUGGAGCAACGCCGCGUGCAGGAUGACUGCCUUCGGGUUGUACACUGCUUUUAUAAGCGGGAAAUAUGGUGGUAACUUAUGAAUAAGGAUCGUCUAACUACGUGCCAGCAGCCGCAGUCAUCCGUAGGAUCCGAGCAUUAUCCGGAGUGACUGGGUGUAAAGAGUUGCGUAGGUGGCAUAAUAAGUAGCGAGUGAAAUCUGGUGGCUCAACCAUUCAGAUUAUUAGCUAAACUGUUAAGCUCGAGACCGUUAGGGGUAACUGGAAUUUCUGGUGUAGGAGUGAAAUCCGUAGAUAUUAGAAGGAACACCAAUAGCGUAGGCAGGUUACUGGGACGGUUCUGACACUAAGGCACGAAAGCGUAGGGAGCAAACGGGAUUAGAUACCCCUGUAGUC